CACGUAGGUGGCUUGGCAAGUCGGUUGUGAAAUCCCCGGGCUUAACCUGGGAACUGCAUCCGAGACUGCUUUGCUAGAGUAUGGGAGAGGGAAGUGGAAUUUCCGGUGUAGCGGUGAAAUGCGUAGAUAUCGGAAGGAACAUCAGUGGCGAAGGCGACUUCCUGGACCAAUACUGACACUCAAGUGCGAAAGCGUGGGGAGCAAACAGGAUUAGAUACCCUGGUAGUCCACGCCAUAAACGAUGAGAACUGGAUGUCGGGAGGGUCUGCCUCUCGGUGUCGUAGCUAACGCGUUAAGUUCUCCGCCUGGGGAGUACGGCCGCAAGGUUGAA
This 331-nucleotide ribosomal RNA is filed under the name uncultured Steroidobacter sp. RNAcentral describes it as "bacterial SSU rRNA". It matches the Rfam family "Bacterial small subunit ribosomal RNA", at positions 568 to 898 of the family's 1533-position model. The record is from RNAcentral. Lineage: Bacteria; Pseudomonadati; Pseudomonadota; Gammaproteobacteria; Steroidobacterales; Steroidobacteraceae.